UUCGCAAUGCCCGAAAGGGUGACGAAGCGACGCCGCGUGUGGGAAGAAGGCCUUCGGGUUGUAAACCACUGUCGGGAGUUAAGAAAUGUAAGGAUGUUAAUAGCGUUCUUACUUGACUAAGGCUCCGGAGGAAGCCACGGCUAACUCUGUGCCAGCAGCCGCGGUAAUACAGAGGCGGCAAGCGUUGUUCGGAAUUAUUGGGCGUAAAGAGCACGUAGGCGGCUAUGUAAGUCGGUUGUAAAAGCCUUCCGCUCAACGGAAGAACAGCAUCCGAUACUGCAUGGCUUGAGUGCGGGAGGGGAGAGUGGAACUUCUGGUGGAGCGGUGAAAUGCGUAGAUAUCAGAAGGAACGCCGGCGGCGAAAGCGGCUCUCUGGCCCAUAACUGACGCUGAGUGUGCGAAAGCUAGGGGAGCAAACGGGAUUAGAUACCCCGGUAGUCCUAGCCGUAAACGAUGGGCACUAAGUAGAGGGGUUUU
This 477-nucleotide ribosomal RNA is filed under the name uncultured bacterium. RNAcentral's name for it is "bacterial SSU rRNA". It matches the Rfam family "Bacterial small subunit ribosomal RNA", at positions 365 to 832 of the family's 1533-position model. The record is from RNAcentral.